GCGAGGAACUGUUUUCCUCG
RNAcentral lists this small nuclear RNA (20 nucleotides) under Arabidopsis thaliana (thale cress). RNAcentral's name for it is "snRNA_05011". The record is from RNAcentral. Lineage: Eukaryota; Viridiplantae; Streptophyta; Magnoliopsida; Brassicales; Brassicaceae.